CAUUUAAAGAAAGCGUAAUAGCUCACUGGUCGAGUCGGCCUGCGCGGAAGAUGUAACGGGGCUAAACCAUGCACCGAAGCUGCGGCAGCGACACUGUGUGUUGUUGGGUAGGGGAGCGUUCUGUAAGCCUGUGAAGGUGUGUCGUGAGGCAUGCUGGAGGUAUCAGAAGUGCGAAUGCUGACAUAAGUAACGAUAAAGCGGGUGAAAAGCCCGCUCGCCGGAAGACCAAGGGUUCCUGUCCAACGUUAAUCGGGGCAGGGUGAGUCGACCCCUAAGGCGAGGCCGAAAGGCGUAGUCGAUGGGAAACGGGUUAAUAUUCCCGUACUUGGUGUUACUGCGAAGGGGGGACGGAGAAGGCUAUGUUGGCCGGGCGACGGUUGUCCCGGUUUAAGCGUGUAGGUGUGUGUUCCAGGUAAAUCCGGUUCACUUUAACACUGAGGCGUGACGACGAGGCACUACGGUGCUGAAGCAACAAAUGCCCUGCUUCCAGGAAAAGCCUCUAAGCAUCAGGUAACAUCAAAUCGUACCCCAAACCGACACAGGUGGUCAGGUAGAGAAUACCAAGGCGCUUGAGAGAACUCGGGUGAAGGAACUAGGCAAAAUGGUGCCGUAACUUCGGGAGAAGGCACGCUGACACGUAGGUGAAGUGAUUUACUCAUGGAGCUGAAGUCAGUCGAAGAUACCAGCUGGCUGCAACUGUUUAUUAAAAACACAGCACUGUGCAAACACGAAAGUGGACGUAUACGGUGUGACGCCUGCCCGGUGCCGGAAGGUUAAUUGAUGGGGUCAGCGCAAGCGAAGCUCCUGAUCGAAGCCCCGGUAAACGGCGGCCGUAACUAUAACGGUCCUAAGGUAGCGAAAUUCCUUGUCGGGUAAGUUCCGACCUGCACGAAUGGCGUAAUGAUGGCCAGGCUGUCUCCACCCGAGACUCAGUGAAAUUGAACUCGCUGUGAAGAUGCAGUGUACCCGCGGCAAGACGGAAAGACCCCGUGAACCUUUACUAUAGCUUGACACUGAACAUUGAGCCUUGAUGUGUAGGAUAGGUGGGAGGCUUUGAAGUGUGGACGCCAGUCUGCAUGGAGCCGACCUUGAAAUACCACCCUUUAAUGUUUGAUGUUCUAACGUGGACCCGUUACCCGGGUUGCGGACAGUGUCUGGUGGGUAGUUUGACUGGGGCGGUCUCCUCCUAAAGAGUAACGGAGGAGCACGAAGGUUGGCUAAUCCUGGUCGGACAUCAGGAGGUUAGUGCAAUGGCAUAAGCCAGCUUGACUGCGAGCGUGACGGCGCGAGCAGGUGCGAAAGCAGGUCAUAGUGAUCCGGUGGUUCUGAAUGGAAGGGCCAUCGCUCAACGGAUAAAAGGUACUCCGGGGAUAACAGGCUGAUACCGCCCAAGAGUUCAUAUCGACGGCGGUGUUUGGCACCUCGAUGUCGGCUCAUCACAUCCUGGGGCUGAAGUAGGUCCCAAGGGUAUGGCUGUUCGCCAUUUAAAGUGGUACGCGAGCUGGGUUUAGAACGUCGUGAGACAGUUCGGUCCCUAUCUGCCGUGGGCGCUGGAGAACUGAGGGGGGCUGCUCCUAGUACGAGAGGACCGGAGUGGACGCAUCACUGGUGUUCGGGUUGUCAUGCCAAUGGCACUGCCCGGUAGCUAAAUGCGGAAGAGAUAAGUGCUGAAAGCAUCUAAGCACGAAACUUGCCCCGAGAUGAGUUCUCCCUGAGACUUAAAGUCUCCUGAAGGAACGUUGAAGACGACGACGUUGAUAGGCCGGGUGUGUAAGCGCAGCGAUGCGUUGAGCUAACCGGUACUAAUGAACCGUGAGGCUUAACC
Molecule: ribosomal RNA, 1825 nt
Filed under: Salmonella enterica subsp. enterica serovar Heidelberg
Lineage: Bacteria; Pseudomonadati; Pseudomonadota; Gammaproteobacteria; Enterobacterales; Enterobacteriaceae
Description: bacterial LSU rRNA
Rfam family: Bacterial large subunit ribosomal RNA
Source: RNAcentral